This 505-nucleotide ribosomal RNA is filed under the name uncultured bacterium. RNAcentral describes it as "bacterial SSU rRNA". It matches the Rfam family "Bacterial small subunit ribosomal RNA", at positions 35 to 572 of the family's 1533-position model. The record is from RNAcentral.
GCUGGCGGCGUGCCUAACACAUGCAAGUCGAACGAGAAAGUGGAGCAAUCCAUGAGUAAAGUGGCGACCGGGUGAGUAACACGUGACUAACCUACCUCCGAGUGGGGAAUAACUCCGGGAAACCGGGGCUAAUACCGCAUAACAUCGCAAGAUCAAAGCAGCAAUGCGCUUGGAGAGGGGGUCGCGGCUGAUUAGCUCGUUGGCGGGGUAACGGCCCACCAAGGCGAAGAUCGGUAUCCGGCCUGAGAGGGCGCACGGACACACUGGAACUGAAACACGGUCCAGACUCCUACGGGAGGCAGCAGUGGGGAAUUUUGCGCAAUGGGGGAAACCCUGACGCAGCAACGCCGCGUGGAGGAUGAAGCCCUUUGGGGCGUAAACUCCUUUCGACUCGGACGAUAAUGACGGUACGAGUGGAAGAAGCACCGGCUAACUCUGUGCCAGCAGCCGCGGUAAUACAGAGGGUGCGAGCGUNGUUCGGAAUUAUUGGGCGUAAAGGGCGCGU